This is a long non-coding RNA of Syngnathoides biaculeatus (alligator pipefish), 1426 nucleotides long. RefSeq lists it as uncharacterized. The transcript has 4 exons. The record is from RefSeq and is a predicted model, not a curated record. NCBI's taxonomy places the organism in Eukaryota, Metazoa, Chordata, Actinopteri, Syngnathiformes, Syngnathidae.
ACCAGUUCUGCAGUGGACUGGUUGAACAGUUACAUUUAUUGGAGAGAAUAAAAGUUUUACAUUGUUUUUGCAGUACUCUUUUACUGUCUUGCCACCAUAACAAUAUUUGUAGAAUGUAGAUGUUGUGCUCAUUAUGUUGUUGUUUUGUUUGACAUUUAAAAUUAAUUUUAACUUUUUAAUUUUACGACAAAAUUGUUUGACUGAUGGUACCACAUGCAAAUGUGUGAAAACCUCUAAGAGAAAAACACUACCAUUACUUAUUGACCAAGUGGAAACAGAACCUGAUCUGGUAUAGAAUUAUUUAAAUGAACGCUCAUAUUUGUUUGGCAAAGUUUUAAGACAGAUGCCCUGAUGCAGGCUUGAGACUGGCCUACAGUUUGCACUUGCUUGUGCCCCACAUAGAGCUGCUUUUGUUUGGGGUAUUUAACUCAAUGGCCACCGUAUAUAUGAUAUGGGAUAAUGUUCAUUUCACUUGGAACUGUCUUGAAGACUUCAAAUUGAAAUUUGACAACUUCUACAUGCAAUGAUUCCAACAUGAAUUAAUACUUUUGGAGGUGAUGAGAUUAUCACCUGUGGCUUCUUUCAGUGCUGUCAUGUCUGCCGUAAGAAGAUGUUUCGCUGCACAUGUUUCCCAUAUAUCACAACUCUCAUCCAGAACCAUGGAAAGAUAGUCAAAGUUGAAAUUGCUGUCAUGGUUGGAUGUCGUAACCUGGGCACACCUGGCCUGCAUUCCCAUCAACUUGUAUAAGCAUGGAACAAACAGGGCACAGUGGGAAAAUAAUCCCUACUCUUUACCAUUGACUUGUGCUUGUGUAUCAUGCUUAGUGUAAUUUUCUGGUGGUUUCUCAAUCAACUGUGAGAACAUUUCUGUUUCUUUGUCUUUUGUUUGUCAAACUUGUGAAGAUAUUCUUUUGCGGUUGCUUUCUCUUAGUCUGCACUUUUUUUCUAUUCUUGUGUGGAUUAGAUCUGGUGCUUUUGUUUGUAGCUUUGAUCUCUUUUUGUGGUAGUAAUGUUAGUAUCUCUUGUCCUCCUUUUGCUACUUAUCAUUUUGUUUUUUAUGCAGCUAAGUCUUUUUGUUAUUUCUUCAUAGCACUUACAUUUGUUUGUUUUGAACUUAUUUUGUUCAGUGUGUGUUCCCUGUUGAACUUUGGCAAUCCACUAUGUGGAUGUUAUUUGUUGUUGUUUUGUUAGUGUUUUUUCUCUAUUUUUUUUUUACAAAAUUCUAUUUGUGCAACACCUACUACUUCGUGAAGAUAAGAGAGGGAAAUCAGUGGAAGAUGGUGUUUGGGAAAUUUUGAAUAUUACAUGAUACCUUUGGACUCACUAAUGCAUCUGUUGUGUUCCAAUGUGUUAUCAAUGAUGUACUCAAGGACAUGAGAAGCAAGCUCUAUUUUCUAUAUCAAGGUGAUCUUUUCAAAAGGCCCUG